UACGUAGGGUGCUAGCGUUGUUCGGAAUCAUUGGGCGUAAAGCGCGUGUAGGUGGUUAGUUAAGUCGAUUGUGAAAUCCCUGGGCUCAACCCAGGAAGUGCAGUCGAAACUAGCUAGCUAGAAGAUGGUAGAGGAAGGUGGAAUUCCAAGUGUAGAGGUGAAAUUCGUAGAUAUUUGGAGGAAUACCUGUGGCGAAGGCGGCUUUCUGGACCAUUCUUGACACUGAGACGCGAAAGCGUGGGUAGCAAACAGG
Molecule: ribosomal RNA, 253 nt
Filed under: uncultured bacterium
Lineage: Bacteria
Description: partial 16S ribosomal RNA
Rfam family: Bacterial small subunit ribosomal RNA
Source: RNAcentral